Sorex fumeus (smoky shrew) is the source of this 104-nucleotide small nucleolar RNA. RefSeq annotates it as small nucleolar RNA U13. NCBI's taxonomy places the organism in Eukaryota, Metazoa, Chordata, Mammalia, Eulipotyphla, Soricidae. The transcript has a single exon. The record is from RefSeq and is a predicted model, not a curated record.
AGCCUUUUCCGGUUCAUAAGCAUGAUGAUUGGGCAUUGACACAUUGGUGUGACAUGUGCCUCGUUUAAAUCUUGUUAGGCAUCUGGCACAUUACCCAUCUGACA